GACGAACGCUGGCGGCAUGCCUAAUACAUGCAAGUCGAGCGAACAGAUGAAGUGCUUGCACUUCUGACGUUAGCGGCGAACGGGUGAGUAACACGUAAGGAAUCUACCUAUAAGCGGGGGAUAACAUUCGGAAACGGGUGCUAAUACCGCAUAAUAUCUUCUUCCGCAUGGAAGAAGAUUGAAAGACGGCUCUGCUGUCACUUAUAGAUGACCUUGCGGUGCAUUAGUUAGUUGGUGGGGUAAUGGCCUACCAAGACGAUGAUGCAUAGCCGACCUGGGAGGGUGAGCGGGCACAUUGGGACGGAGACACGGCCCAAACUCCUACGGGAGGCAGCAGUAGGGAAUCUUCCGCAAUGGGCGAAAGCCUGACGGAGCAAUGCCGCGUGAGUGAAGAAGGCCUUCGGGUCGUAAAACUCUGUUAUAAGAGAAGAACAAAUUGUAGAGUAACUGCUACAGUCUUGACGGUAUCUUAUCAGAAAGCCACGGCUAACUACGUGCCAGCCGCCGCAGUAA
RNAcentral lists this ribosomal RNA (513 nucleotides) under uncultured bacterium. RNAcentral describes it as "partial 16S ribosomal RNA". It matches the Rfam family "Bacterial small subunit ribosomal RNA", at positions 28 to 523 of the family's 1533-position model. The record is from RNAcentral.